GAUGAAGAACGUAGCGAAAUGCGAUAAGUAAUGUGAAUUGCAGAAUUCAGUGAAUCAUCGAAUCUUUGAACGCACAUUGCGCCCCCUGGUAUUCCGGGGGGCAUGCCUGUUCGAGCGUCAUUUCAACCCUCAAGCUCUGCUUGGUAUUGAGUCCAUGUCAGCAAUGGCAGGCUCCAAAAUCAGUGACGGCGCCGCUGGGUCCUGAACGUAGUAAUAUCUCUCGUUACAGGUGCUCGGCGUGCUUCUGCCAAAACCCCAAUUUUUCUAUGGUUGACCUCGGAUCAGGUAGGGAUACCCGCUGAACUUAAGCAUAUCAAUAAGCGGAGGA
This 328-nucleotide unclassified non-coding RNA is filed under the name soil metagenome. Its description in RNAcentral is "partial contains 5.8S ribosomal RNA, internal transcribed spacer 2, and large subunit ribosomal RNA". The stretch from base 1 to 120 matches the Rfam family "5.8S ribosomal RNA", at positions 35 to 154 of the family's 154-position model. The record is from RNAcentral.